RNAcentral lists this ribosomal RNA (740 nucleotides) under uncultured bacterium. Its description in RNAcentral is "bacterial SSU rRNA". It matches the Rfam family "Bacterial small subunit ribosomal RNA", at positions 790 to 1530 of the family's 1533-position model. The record is from RNAcentral.
GUAGUCCUGGCUGUAAACGAUGUCGACUUGGAGGUUGUGCCCUUGAGGCGUGGCUUCCGGAGCUAACGCGUUAAGUCGACCGCCUGGGGAGUACGGCCGCAAGGUUAAAACUCAAAUGAAUUGACGGGGGCCCGCACAAGCGGUGGAGCAUGUGGUUUAAUUCGAUGCAACGCGAAGAACCUUACCUGGUCUUGACAUCCACGGAAGUUUUCAGAGAUGAGAAUGUGCCUUCGGGAACCGUGAGACAGGUGCUGCAUGGCUGUCGUCAGCUCGUGUUGUGAAAUGUUGGGUUAAGUCCCGCAACGAGCGCAACCCUUAUCCUUUGUUGCCAGCGGUCCGGCCGGGAACUCAAAGGAGACUGCCAGUGAUAAACUGGAGGAAGGUGGGGAUGACGUCAAGUCAUCAUGGCCCUUACGACCAGGGCUACACACGUGCUACAAUGGCGCAUACAAAGAGAAGCGACCUCGCGAGAGCAAGCGGACCUCAUAAAGUGCGUCGUAGUCCGGAUUGGAGUCUGCAACCCGACUCCAUGAAGUCGGAAUCGCUAGUAAUCGUGGAUCAGAAUGCCACGGUGAAUACGUUCCCGGGCCUUGUACACACCGCCCGUCACACCAUGGGAGUGGGUUGCAAAAGAAGUAGGUAGCUUAACCUUCGGGAGGGCGCUUACCACUUUGUGAUUCAUGACUGGGGUGAAGUCGUAACAAGGUAACCGUAGGGGAACCUGCGGCUGGAUCACCUCC